GCGCGCCAGGUUCGGGUCCUGGCCUCGCGCGCGGGUCACGUGGCGGCGAGCGCUGGGCGGCGGGUCCAGACUCCCGCGUCGCCCACAGGACCUGGCGGUGCGGUGUCCCGGGCUCUGCCUCCCUGUGGCUCCGAGAAGUGGGAUCGGGUGAGUGCGGAGCGCCUUGCUGGCGCCUGGGAGCGCAGCCCUGGUCCCCGCGGUGCAGGCGGGCGGCCGCGUUCCUCGCUGAGCAUUUUGGGUUUCGGUGCGGGGAGUCACUUCGUUACAGUGUCCUCACGGCCAAGCUGCGGUCGAGUGCUGUCCUGAAGCCCAUUUCGCAGACGAGGAAGGCGACACGGAAGCGGUGCGAUGGCGACUCCCGACAGCGGGGCCCCCUGGGAUGCUGACCUGUGGUCCUCCCAUGACAAGAUGCUGGUGCAGCCCCUGAAGGACAGUGACCUGGAGGUUUACAACAUCAUCAAGAAGGAGAGCCACCGGCAGCGGGUGGGACUGGAGCUCAUUGCCUCGGAGAACUUCGCCAGCCGAGCUGUCCUGGAGGCCCUGGGCUCCUGCUUGAAUAACAAGUACUCCGAGGGGUACCCAGGCCAGAGGUACUACGGCGGGACCGAGUUCAUUGACGAGCUGGAGCUCCUCUGCCAGAGGCGAGCGCUGCAGGUCUACGGCCUGGACCCCCAGUGCUGGGGCGUCAACGUCCAGCCCUACUCAGGUAACCCACGAUGGGCUCUGCGCGGAGCCCCCGGGGCGACUGCCCUUAGCGAUAGCUUAAGCAGCAGGGCCAAGCUCCUCCUGCAUCGCCUGGGCUGUCCACCCACCUCCGGGCAGCCCCGUCCCUGAAUGCCCCCUCCAGUUACUCAAGGGGUCUGCUGUGGGGGCAGCUGGGGGCUAGGCCUGCUCUGGCCACUCCUGGUCAACGGCCUCAUGGGCAGAGCAGUGGCGCCUUCUCUGGUCUGCCCGCCCCAGGCUCCCCUGCGAACUUCGCGGUGUACACCGCCCUGGUGGAACCCCACGGCCGCAUCAUGGGCCUGGACCUGCCCGAUGGGGGCCACCUGACCCACGGGUUCAUGACGGAGAAGAAGAAAAUCUCGGCCACGUCCAUCUUUUUCGAGUCCAUGCCCUACAAGGUGGACCCGGACACGGGCUACAUCAACUACGACCGGCUGGAGGAGAACGCUCGCCUCUUCCACCCGAAGCUGAUCAUCGCAGGGACCAGCUGCUACUCCCGGAACCUGGACUACGCCCGGCUGCGCAGGAUCGCCGACGACAACGGGGCCUACCUCAUGGCCGACAUGGCGCACAUCAGCGGGCUGGUGGCGGCCGGCGUGGUGCCCUCCCCCUUCGAGCACUGCCACGUGGUGUCCACCACCACGCACAAGACGCUGCGGGGCUGCCGAGCCGGCAUGAUCUUCUACCGGAAGGGAGUGCGCAGCGUGGACCCCAAGACGGGCAGAGAGACGCGGUACAACCUGGAGUCACUCAUCAACUCCGCUGUGUUCCCAGGGCUGCAGGGGGGCCCCCACAACCACGCCAUUGCCGGGGUCGCGGUGGCUCUGAAGCAGGCCAUGACCCCGGAGUUCAGAGUCUACCAGUGCCAGGUGGUGGCCAACUGCAGAGCCCUGGCCAAGACCUUGAUGGGGCUGGGCUACAAGGUAGUCACAGGUAGGACAGGCCAGGCCCGGAGGACUGUCCCCGUCCCAUCGGGAGUGGUGGGGCCCCGGCCCCUCGUGUGCUCGAGGCAUCCUCAGCAGAGCCACAGAUGUGUCACAGUUGCCAUCCCCGCGGGAGACCCCUGGUCCUCCAGGCGGUUUUCUGAAAGGAGCCCGAGGCUCCCAGAGGGGCUGGGCACCGGCCAUCACACUGCUGGGGGCUGGCGGGGGGGCAAAGGGGGGGCCUUGGCCUCGCCAUCCUGGGGCGUCUGCACCCAGCUGCUUGUUCCUGGUCAGCACGCUUGUCCUCUCUGGCUGCCAGCAGGGCUGCCUGGCCGCAUCUCUGUGGUGGCCUGCAAACACGUGCCCGCUGCCCUUCUUGGGUCCCAGGCGCCCCCAACCCUCAGCAGCCCUGCGUCCACCUCUGCCCCGCUUUGUGCCACCUCUUUUGUUUGCUUCCUCUACGUCCUCCACAUCUUCGGCAAGAAAGCCCCAGGUGGACCGGGACCUCCAUGGUCACAAACAAGUUUCUUGGGUCCACAGGCGCUGCCCGGCUCUGACCCGCGGGUCGGUGGGGCCUGUGUCUCUGACCAGCUCCGGGCGAUGCUGGUCUGGGGAGUGGGCGCGCAUCGUGGACGUAGGCCAGCUCCCUCUGGCUCUGGGCAUCCGGCCUGCUCCGACCGCCCCCAUUCCUGAGCUCCCAGGCUGGUCCCCCCAACAGGUCCUCUCUGCUCUGAGCAGGCGGCGGGGCAGGUGAUGGCAGAUCCCCGCCUUGUGCCUGGCUCUGGCCCAGGUGCUUCAUGCCCUCCUCCAAACCUCGAGAUGGCCUUGCCAAUUACUGGUCGCCUGUGGGCGGCUGAGGCUCCCAAAGGUCCCACUGCCUGCCUGAGGCCGCGUGGCCGCUGAGGGGGCCCUGGGUCCAGAGCAGGACCGGGGACGGGAGGUGCGAUGUGCAGGCAACGUCUGCGCUCCAGCAACACGGCGGCUGCCCCGUGGCCGGCCAGAGGGCGCCCACUGCCUGCUUCUCCAACGCCUCCUUAGACGCAGCCGCAGAGACCGAUUCAGGACACAUGGGACACCCCAAAUGGUGCCGUUAUCCCAACAGGCCUCCAGGUGCUGCCCGGCACCUGGCGCUUUGGGACAAAGACUCGGGCGCCCGGGCCAGCCUCUCCCUCAGCCCCUCCACAGGCCCAGGGCCCUUCUCAGUUCACCCGGAGGCCCUGGGGCAGGGGGUCUCGAGCAGGCACAUGGGGUCCCCUCCAGCCUCUCCCCCAUCCCUCUGCUCGGGCCCGGGGCGCCGUCUGCGGCCUCACACCGCCCUGUUCCAGGUGGCUCUGACAACCAUCUGAUCCUCGUGGACCUCCGAUCCAAAGGCACGGACGGCGGCAGGGCCGAGAAGGUGCUGGAAGCCUGUAACAUUGCCUGCAACAAGAACACCUGCCCAGACAGAUGCCAGCCUCCAUUUGGGCCAAGGACCGUGUCUCAGAGGGGACUUCCAUGCUGUUUAAAGUCGAGUGGCCGUGACACCCCGGCCCCUGCACCCCUGCUUCCAGCUCCAGCCUGAGACCAGCUGUCCCCUCCAGCCAGUGUCUGCGGCUCUGCUCCUCUGGCCCACGUGUCCCUGUCCAGUCAGGGCGCUCCGCGCGGAGACGUGCGGCCCAGGGUCAGAGCCUGUCCCUCUUAAAGGUGACAAGAGCGCCCUGCGGCCCAGCGGGCUGCGCCUGGGGACCCCGGCACUGACGUCCCGAGGACUCUUGGAAGAAGAUUUCCAAGAAGUGGCCCGGUUUAUUCACAGAGGGAUAGAGCUGACCCUGCAGAUCCAGGACGCCGUGGGUGCGAAGGCCACCCUGAAGGAGUUCACGGAGACGCUGGCGGGGGCCGGGGAGCACCAGCGGGCCGUGGCGGCGCUCAGGGCGGAGGUGGAGAGCUUCGCCGCCCUCUUCCCGCUGCCCGGCCUGCCCGACUUCUAGGCGCGCCCGCCAGCCCGCCCUUGGCCCCAGCCCGGCCCGAUGGCUUCCCUGUGCCUCCCAGGGCGUCUCUCUGGACUUUGCUAUGUUGCCUUCCUCACAAGCUAACAUCUGUUAGAAGCUCGGUGUCAGUAAUUCUGGGACAAGCUACCAAGGAGUUUAAACUUCAACCUCAGUGUCUCACAGCUACAUAGAGAGUUAUUCUGCAAAAAUAAACUACGAUUUCGCCAUUUAGCCAUUACUUUCUCCGUUGGUGUAGGGCAGGGCUAUGAGGAAGAUGCCAAUUUUCCUCUCUGCUCUUAAAAGUCCUUGGGCUUAAGAUAAGAAACACCCAAGUCUGGAGUCCCCGCUGUGGCUCAGUGGUAAAGAGCCCGACUAGUACCCAUGCGGAUGCAGGUUCGAUCCCUGGCCUCGCUCAGUUGGUUAAGGAUCCGACAUCGCCAUGAGCUGUGGUGCAGGUCGCAGGCGCGGCUGUGGCUGGCAGCUGCAUCUCUGAUUUUAUCUCCAGCCUGGGAACUUUCAUAUCCCUCAGGCGCACCCCUAAAAAGACCGAAAAAAAAAAAAAAAAAGCAAAAGGAACAUCCAAGGCGGGAGUUCCUCUGUGGCUCAGCGGGUUAGGGACCCAGCAUAACUCCUGCAGCAGCUCGGGUUCCCUCCCUGGCCCAGGAACUUAGGUGCAGCCAAAAAGAGGAGAAGAGGAGACCCGAGUUCUGGCCAUUGUGCCCUGCUCCCCGGCGGGCCGCCCGCCCUAGGAGGACGGCUGCCGCCGAGGGGAGUGUCCGACGCUCCUGCGGCGCUCCCGUCAGAGCUGCAAGUUAGACACGUCUGUUCAGGUGCCGCCCAUUGGGCUCCGACUCGCGGCACCGGGGACCUGGUCCCUCCCCCGACCCGGGGCAGAGGAGCGCCUGCCUCCCCCGCCCUGUCCCGUCAUCAGGAAACCAGAUGCCACCUUCCCACGGACGCUUUAUUUUUCACAAAUCGCAAGUGCAAAACAUAGAUGACCAUUUUUAAUGAGCACAGUCAAAUUUUUAACCACGGAUCUACAAGAAUGAUAGCUUUAAAAAUACAACCAAUUUUUAUAUUUCAAAAAUAUCUCAACUGAAAUAAAUUAAUUUUUUAAAAAG
This is a non-coding RNA of Sus scrofa (pig), 4734 nucleotides long. The record is from RefSeq and is a predicted model, not a curated record. NCBI's taxonomy places the organism in Eukaryota, Metazoa, Chordata, Mammalia, Artiodactyla, Suidae.